Molecule: unclassified non-coding RNA, 226 nt
Filed under: uncultured Solirubrobacterales bacterium
Lineage: Bacteria; Bacillati; Actinomycetota; Thermoleophilia; Solirubrobacterales
Description: contains 16S-23S intergenic spacer region
Source: RNAcentral
UCCAACUUAUCGCUGGCGGUCAGAAACAUGUCAAACCCAGGUAAGGUUCUUCGCGUUGCGUCGAAUUAAACCACAUGCUCCGCUGCUUGUGCGGGCCCCCGUCAAUUCCUUUGAGUUUUAGCCUUGCGGCCGUACUCCCCAGGCGGGGCACUUAAUGCGUUAGCUCCGGCACGGGAGGAGUCGACACCUCCCACACCUAGUGCCCAUCGUUUACGGCGUGGACUAC